Cephus cinctus (wheat stem sawfly) is the source of this 996-nucleotide long non-coding RNA. RefSeq lists it as uncharacterized. The transcript is spliced from 3 exons. Lineage: Eukaryota; Metazoa; Arthropoda; Insecta; Hymenoptera; Cephidae. The record is from RefSeq and is a predicted model, not a curated record.
GGCUCGCGAUAGGAGGGAGGUUGGAGUAUGUUAUCUUUGUAAGAAGAUUUUCGUCGAGGACGAGGGGAAUGAACAAAAAAAUGACACCGUAUAGAGAGGGGUCGGAGAAAAAUGACGAACAGACCCGUAAGCGAUAAAGGACUUUGGCGGGAAGAUUUAAAUCGAUUACAGGACAAAAAUUCUCUAUCGGCGAUCGUGUUAGCUGUCGUCGAUUCGGAACGCCAGGGUGCUCUGCGUAUCCUGGAGACAUAUUUCAACAAUGUUGAUGAAGGCUAGAAAAAAGAAAAAUGGUCAACAGAAAAGAAGAAGCAUAGAAAUGAAAUCAGUAAUCCGACGAGACCCGACGGGUACAUAAUGGAGAUACCCAUAUCGAUGGUUAUAAGAAGUGGGAACAAUGAAUGAACUGAAUAAUAGGAGACGAAAGAAAAAGAGGAGAGACACGAAAUAAGGAGGACAAGAAAGAGAAAAGUAAUACCACUAGCUGAUAACGGUGGAAUAAUGCGAACAAUUUUACAGGCACAAAAGGACGCCCUCGCGAUAAAACGGCGCGAAAAUCAAACAGACGAGAGGACAGUUAAGUAGGUGGGUAUAGGUAGGGAUAAGAUCGUUUCAGGGAUGGCUGAUGGCGAAUGUGUGAAGGAAUGCAGAAAUUGUGUGGAAGGUGAAGAGACGAGAAGCGAAGGUUGAGAAGUAGAACGACCCGAAGCCCGUAAAGUACCGUAAAGUCGUAGGCUUUUCGCUGAGACAUUAAGCGGCGGACUUCUCGACAUGGGAAAUUCGCGCGUUUGAAUAUUACUCACGCUCAAUUAAACUCAUAGAGCUGCGGCCUACCCGAAAGGCCAUAAUGGCAUAAUAAUUGAUCGAGGCCUUUAGAGUAACUGCGCACACAAACUGCCUCCCCUGUAUUCCAUCGCCAUUUGACUUCGUACUGACUACCGGAAGAGAAAUAUAUUUUGGUCGUAUAUCAAAAAAAAAAAAAAAAGGCGAGGAUAAUAA